RNAcentral lists this transfer RNA (75 nucleotides) under Abditibacteriaceae bacterium. Its description in RNAcentral is "Abitibacteriaceae bacterium (rhizosphere metagenome) tRNA-Asn". It matches the Rfam family "tRNA". Rfam says of the family: Transfer RNA (tRNA) molecules are approximately 80 nucleotides in length. Their secondary structure includes four short double-helical elements and three loops (D, anti-codon, and T loops). Further hydrogen bonds mediate the characteristic L-shaped molecular structure. tRNAs have two regions of fundamental functional importance: the anti-codon, which is responsible for specific mRNA codon recognition, and the 3' end, to which the tRNAs corresponding amino acid is attached (by aminoacyl-tRNA synthetases). tRNAs cope with the degeneracy of the genetic code in two manners: having more than one tRNA (with a specific anti-codon) for a particular amino acid; and 'wobble' base-pairing, i.e. permitting non-standard base-pairing at the 3rd anti-codon position. Lineage: Bacteria; Pseudomonadati; Abditibacteriota; Abditibacteriia; Abditibacteriales; Abditibacteriaceae. The record is from RNAcentral.
UGUGGGGUAGCAAAGUGGUAAUGCACCCGCCUGUUAAGCGGGCACACGUGGGUUCGAUCCCCACCCCUACAGCCA